UAAUAUAGAGGAUAGAACAGGUAGCUAUCACCACACAGAAAUGUGUUAGGAGAUGUGGAAUGACCGACCACCUAUAUUA
This 79-nucleotide non-coding RNA is filed under the name unclassified sequences. RNAcentral describes it as "skipping-rope RNA". It matches the Rfam family "skipping-rope RNA". From Rfam's summary of the family: Firmicutes, Fusobacteria, AlphaProteobacteria, Spirochaetes. Downstream gene The record is from Rfam by way of RNAcentral.